Molecule: ribosomal RNA, 362 nt
Filed under: Ixodes ricinus (castor bean tick)
Lineage: Eukaryota; Metazoa; Arthropoda; Arachnida; Ixodida; Ixodidae
Description: partial 16S ribosomal RNA
Rfam family: Bacterial large subunit ribosomal RNA (bases 66-362)
Source: RNAcentral
AAAAGCUUUCUUUAAUUGAAUAAUUGAAUUUAAUUUUUUAGUGCAAAAGCAAAAAUAAAAAUUAGGGACAAGAAGACCCUAUGAAUUUUUUAUUAAAUUUUAUAAAACUUUAUAUAAAAUUUAAUUUAAUUGGGGUGAUGGAAAAAGAAUAAAUAUCUUUUUUUUUAAAAAAAAUUGGUUCCGUUUUUAGCGAUUAAAUGAAAAAAAUACUCUAGGGAUAACAGCGUAAUAAUUUUGGAUAGUUCAUAUAGAUAAAAUAGUUUGCGACCUCGAUGUUGGAUUAGGAUUCUUUUUUGGUGAAGAAGUUAAAAAAAGAAGUUUGUUCAACUUAUAAUUUCCUACUUGAUCUGAGUUCAGACCGG